RNAcentral lists this ribosomal RNA (513 nucleotides) under uncultured bacterium. Its description in RNAcentral is "bacterial SSU rRNA". It matches the Rfam family "Bacterial small subunit ribosomal RNA", at positions 791 to 1302 of the family's 1533-position model. The record is from RNAcentral.
UAGUCCACGCCGUAAACGAUGGAUGCUAGCCGUUGGGCAGUUUACUGUUCAGUGGCGCAGCUAACGCAUUAAGCAUCCCGCCUGGGGAGUACGGUCGCAAGAUUAAAACUCAAAGGAAUUGACGGGGGGCCCGCACAAGCGGUGGAGUAUGUGGUUUAAUUCGAUGCAACGCGAAGAACCUUACCAGGACUUGACAUCCCUCGAACUUUCUAGAAAUAGAUUGGUGCCUUCGGGAGCGAGGAGACAGGUGGUGCAUGGCUGUCGUCAGCUCGUGUCGUGAGAUGUUGGGUUAAGUCCCGCAACGAGCGCAACCCACGUCCUUAGUUGCCAUCAUUAAGUUGGGCACUCUGGGGAGACUGCCGGGGACAACCCGGAGGAAGGUGGGGACGACGUCAAGGUCAUCAUGGCCCUUACGAGUAGGGGCUACACACGUGCUACAAUGGCGCAUACAGAGGGCAGCCAACUCGCGAGAGUGAGCGAAUCCCAAAAAGUGACGUCGUAGUCCGGAUUGGA